Molecule: long non-coding RNA, 208 nt
Filed under: Gallus gallus (chicken)
Lineage: Eukaryota; Metazoa; Chordata; Aves; Galliformes; Phasianidae
Source: RNAcentral
AAGCUGUGGCAGCCUUCUGUGGAGGAGGAAUCCUCUUCAGAGGGCCGGUGCCAGAGAAAGGGAUUCAACUCGUUCUCACCACCAACAUCUCUCUUGUAGUCUGUGUCACAUAUCCUCUCCUGUACUGCCCUUACCAGUCGGCUGUUCUGGUCUCCAUAUUCACCAGAUGCUACUUCCAUAACAAAAUCUGCAGGAUUGUGAUAGGUUG